GACGAACGCUGGCGGCGUGCCUAAUACAUGCAAGUAGAACGCUGAAGAGAGGAGCUUGCUCUUCUUGGAUGAGUUGCGAACGGGUGAGUAACGCGUAGGUAACCUGCCUUGUAGCGGGGGAUAACUAUUGGAAACGAUAGCUAAUACCGCAUAACAAUGGAUGACACAUGUCAUUUAUUUGAAAGGGGCAAUUGCUCCACUACAAGAUGGACCUGCGUUGUAUUAGCUAGUAGGUGAGGUAACGGCUCACCUAGGCGACGAUACAUAGCCGACCUGAGAGGGUGAUCGGCCACACUGGGACUGAGACACGGCCCAGACUCCUACGGGAGGCAGCAGUAGGGAAUCUUCGGCAAUGGGGGCAACCCUGACCGAGCAACGCCGCGUGAGUGAAGAAGGUUUUCGGAUCGUAAAGCUCUGUUGUAAGUCAAGAACGAGUGUGAGAGUGGAAAGUUCACACUGUGACGGUAGCUUACCAGAAAGGGACGGCUAACUACGUGCCAGCAGCCGCGGUAAUACGUAGGUCCCGAGCGUUGUCCGGAUUUAUUGGGCGUAAAGCGAGCGCAGGCGGUUUGAUAAGUCUGAAGUUAAAGGCUGUGGCUCAACCAUAGUUCGCUUUGGAAACUGUCAAACUUGAGUGCAGAAGGGGAGAGUGGAAUUCCAUGUGUAGCGGUGAAAUGCGUAGAUAUAUGGAGGAACACCGGUGGCGAAAGCGGCUCUCUGGUCUGUAACUGACGCUGAGGCUCGAAAGCGUGGGGAGCGAACAGGAUUAGAUGCCCUGGUAGUCCACGCCGUAAACGAUGAGUGCUAGGUGUUGGAUCCUUUCCGGGAUUCAGUGCCGCAGCUAACGCAUUAAGCACUCCGCCUGGGGAGUACGACCGCAAGGUUGAAACUCAAAGGAAUUGACGGGGGCCCGCACAAGCGGUGGAGCAUGUGGUUUAAUUCGAAGCAACGCGAAGAACCUUACCAGGUCUUGACAUCCCGAUGCUAUUUCUAGAGAUAGAAAGUUACUUCGGUACAUCGGUGACAGGUGGUGCAUGGUUGUCGUCAGCUCGUGUCGUGAGAUGUUGGGUUAAGUCCCGCAACGAGCGCAACCCCUAUUGUUAGUUGCCAUCAUUCAGUUGGGCACUCUAGCGAGACUGCCGGUAAUAAACCGGAGGAAGGUGGGGAUGACGUCAAAUCAUCAUGCCCCUUAUGACCUGGGCUACACACGUGCUACAAUGGUUGGUACAACGAGUUGCGAGUCGGUGACGGCAAGCUAAUCUCUUAAAGCCAAUCUCAGUUCGGAUUGUAGGCUGCAACUCGCCUACAUGAAGUCGGAAUCGCUAGUAAUCGCGGAUCAGCACGCCGCGGUGAAUACGUUCCCGGGCCU
RNAcentral lists this ribosomal RNA (1369 nucleotides) under uncultured bacterium. Its description in RNAcentral is "bacterial SSU rRNA". It matches the Rfam family "Bacterial small subunit ribosomal RNA", at positions 28 to 1381 of the family's 1533-position model. The record is from RNAcentral.